GGGGGGAGCAAACGUUGUUCGGAAUCACUGGGCGUAAAGGGCGCGUAGGCGGCCCCGCAAGUGGUGUGUGAAAUGCCCUGGCUCAACCAGGGAACUGCGCACCAAACUGCGGAGCUUGAGGGCAGUAGAGGAAGCUGGAAUUCCUGGUGUAGCGGUGAAAUGCGUAGAUAUCAGGAGGAACACCGUUGGCGAAGGCGAGCUUCUGGGCUGUUCCUGACGCUGAGGCGCGAAAGCUGGGGGGGGAGCAAACAGGAUUAGAUACCCUGGUAGUCCCAGCCGUAAACGGUGAACACUAGGUGUGGGGGGGUGUCGACCCUUUCCCGUGCCGCAGCUAACGCAUUAAGUGUUCCGCCUGGGAAGUACGGUCGCAAGGCUG
Molecule: ribosomal RNA, 376 nt
Filed under: uncultured organism
Description: partial 16S ribosomal RNA
Rfam family: Bacterial small subunit ribosomal RNA
Source: RNAcentral